GAUUUAGAAAGGAUAGCGAAUCAAGUUUCGCCUGAACUGAAUACGGGUUUCUUAAAAUAUUAUAUCUGUUCCCAUCCCAUCAUGGUUUCAAACACCUCUUUAUGCCCAUUCGGAAAAUAUGAGCUUUGAUUCUCGUGUUGGCUUAUCUAAGGUUCUUGAAAGGCGAAAAGAGAAUUGUGGCUGUCUUUAUGAGAAAGAAAGCCUGAAAUGGAUCUGAACGGAGAUAUUAGUUUCUACCAGCUGACACUAUAGAUCCUAAUUCACAUGACAUGUAUACACACUCAUAGAAAUGAUGAAAGUUAAGUAGCAUAUUGAAUAUAGGUUUGCAUAAAAGGUGUAUUAAGUUCUUAACAGACUCAUUCAAUGUUUCAGUACUGAGGUUCUCUGAAAAGCUAUCUGCAUUGUUCUGCCAGUCACUUGCCAAAUUUAAUUUCUUUUCCUCCUUAUGGUCCCAAAAUAGUGUAGUAUUAAUUACUGAUGUAAAAGAGAUGCUCUGCAGCCAAGGCAGCAAAGAUUUUCUUUCUAAUGGUCAAUUAUAGGUGACUAGACAGAAGUGAGUUGCAGAAGAAGUAAAGAAAGUAGAAGUCACUUGUAUCUGAACCAUUUUCUCUAUAUGUAUGGCUAUGGCAUCAUCUGAAGUUCCAAGAAACAAGAAGAUGAAAGGGAGACGGUUCAUACUUUUUGUAGUAAUAAUGAUCCUCCUCCAUAUAGAGAGUUGUGUUUGUGUAUUGAACAGCAGCGGCAGACCUUUUUUCCCAGAUCAUGCUCCAACUGUUCAGCAAACAACAGGCACAAAGCAGAAUUCUUGGACAUCAGAAACCAGUUUGAGCUCAGAAAAGGAGGUAAUGAUGAACAAAUUACUAGGCUCGAUCCCACCAAGCUGUGAGCACAAGUGCUAUGGCUGUACUCCAUGCGAGGCCACCCAAGUACCCACCACCAAGGCAAAUUUGGAGAUUCAGUCUGCUAAUUAUCAACCUGAGGGCUGGAAAUGCAAGUGUGGUCCUUCAUUUUAUGGACCUUAACAUUGAUGAAGCUUGUGUAGAUACAGUUGAUUUGCUUAUGCCUCCAGUUUUUCAAUUUAUUCUCCUUUCUGUUGGUAGUUUGAGUGUACAUCUGUAGUUCUCAGAUAUAAUUGAUAAGACGUCUGGUUCGGUUCUUGCUCAAUUCAAAAAAUCAUCUAAUAUGAUUGUA
Molecule: RNA transcript, 1191 nt
Organism: Daucus carota subsp. sativus
Lineage: Eukaryota; Viridiplantae; Streptophyta; Magnoliopsida; Apiales; Apiaceae
Exons: 3
Source: RefSeq, a predicted model, not a curated record